This 361-nucleotide ribosomal RNA is filed under the name uncultured Acidobacteriota bacterium. Its description in RNAcentral is "bacterial SSU rRNA". It matches the Rfam family "Bacterial small subunit ribosomal RNA", at positions 466 to 826 of the family's 1533-position model. The record is from RNAcentral. Lineage: Bacteria; Pseudomonadati; Acidobacteriota.
AUUAUGACGGUACCCAUAGAAGAAGCCCCGGCUAACUUCGUGCCAGCAGCCGCGGUAAUACGAAGGGGGCAAGCGUUGUUCGGAAUUAUUGGGCGUAAAGGGUGCGUAGGCGGUUUGACAAGUCUGAUGUGAAAUCUCUGGGCUCAACCCGGAGGCUGCAUCGGAAACUGUCGGGCUUGAGUAUGGGAGAGGUGAGUGGAAUUUCCGGUGUAGCGGUGAAAUGCGUAGAUAUCGGAAGGAACACCUGUGGCGAAAGCGGCUCACUGGACCAUUACUGACGCUGAGGCACGAAAGCUAGGGGAGCAAACAGGAUUAGAUACCCUGGUAGUCCUAGCCCUAAACGAUGAUUGCUUGAUGUGGG